GCGCAGAAUGCAGAGAAGGACUAUGGCGAGCCAGCGCUUCCCUACGCCGUUCCACGGGCACGUGGGCCGCGGCGCCUUCAGCGACGUGUACGAGCCCGCGGAGGACACGUUUCUGCUUCUGGACGCGCUCGAGGCAGCAGCUGCCGAGCUGGCGGGAGUGGAAAUAUGCCUAGAAGUAGGGGCAGGGUCUGGUGUAGUAUCUGCAUUCCUAGCCUCUAUGAUAGGUCCUCAGGCUUUGUACAUGUGCACUGAUAUCAACCCUGAGGCAGCAGCUUGUACCCUAGAGACAGCACGCUGUAACAAAGUCCACGUUCAACCAGUUAUUACAGAUUUGGUCAAAGGCUUGCUACCAAGAUUGAAGGAAAAAGUUGAUCUUCUGGUGUUCAAUCCCCCCUAUGUAGUGACUCCACCUGAAGAGGUAGGAAGUCACGGAAUAGAGGCAGCUUGGGCUGGUGGCAGAAAUGGUCGGGAAGUCAUGGACAGGUUUUUCCCCCUGGUUCCAGAUCUCCUUUCACCAAGAGGAUUAUUCUAUUUAGUUACCAUUAAAGAAAACAACCCAGAAGAAAUUUUGAAAAUAAUGAAGACAAAAGGUCUGCAAGGAACCACUGCACUUUCCAGACAAGCAGGCCAAGAAACUCUUUCAGUCCUCAAGUUCACCAAGUCCUAGCAUGCAGUGUGUGCCCAGAGCUACUGGAAACUGAAUGCAUUUAGCAUAUCUUGAAACUGAAGUCAUUCAUUAGAUGGAUUUACAUCACUGACUCCCCUGGUUCUCACGCCUUUGGACUCAGACUGAAUUAUACCACAGGCCUUCCUGGGUCUCCAGCUUUAUAGAUGACAGAUCAUGGGACCUCUUAGCCUCCAUAAUCAUGUAAGCCAUUUUCUUGUAGUAUUGAUAAAAGAUAUAUUAGACCAAUCUAUAAAACAGGUACUAUGAAAGAAAAGGGAGACGGGCACAUGCCUAGGCAAAUAGGGAAGGGUCCCUGGAGAACCUCUGACUUGCCCAGGUCAUUGUGUACAGAUGCCUUGCCUGAACAUGCCCACUGUGAAAAAUUCCAUUUCUCAACACAUGUGCAGUAAGGGAAAUAAAUCAAUGUAGCUUAGACCAAGCGCCCGUACAUGGGGUGGAGCCACGCGGAGUUUGCGCCUUAUGCAGGGGAGAAGCCAUGUGCCUUCAGCUCGUGUGUGGUGGCCUGGCAUUCAAUUUGUGAGGUGGAAAACCUGCAUGAAGGACCCCUCCUUUUGUGGAGAGCUUUCCUUUCGCUUAAUAAAUUCUGCCCUCCUUGCC
This is an RNA transcript of Mandrillus leucophaeus (drill), 1285 nucleotides long. It is a transcript of the gene named N-6 adenine-specific DNA methyltransferase 1 (putative), with no coding region annotated. The transcript has 7 exons. The record is from RefSeq and is a predicted model, not a curated record. NCBI's taxonomy places the organism in Eukaryota, Metazoa, Chordata, Mammalia, Primates, Cercopithecidae.